This 541-nucleotide ribosomal RNA is filed under the name Verticillium sp. MAB-2010b. Its description in RNAcentral is "eukaryotic LSU rRNA". The stretch from base 184 to 337 matches the Rfam family "5.8S ribosomal RNA". Lineage: Eukaryota; Fungi; Ascomycota; Sordariomycetes; Glomerellales; Plectosphaerellaceae. The record is from RNAcentral.
GUAACAAGGUCUCCGUUGGUGAACCAGCGGAGGGAUCAUUACCGAGUACUAUAACUCAUAACCCUUUGUGAACCUUCAUACCUGUUGCUUCGGCGGCGCGCCUCCCGGGGCGUGCCCGCCGGCAUUAUCAGAAUCUCUGUUCGAACCCGACGAUACUUCUGAGUGUUCUAAGCGAACUGUUAAAACUUUCAACAACGGAUCUCUUGGCUCCAGCAUCGAUGAAGAACGCAGCGAAACGCGAUAUGUAAUGUGAAUUGCAGAAUUCAGUGAAUCAUCGAAUCUUUGAACGCACAUGGCGCCUUCCAGUAUCCUGGGAGGCAUGCCUGUCCGAGCGUCGUUUCAACCCUCGAGCCCCCGUGGCCCGGCGUUGGGGACCUGCCCAGGCAGUCCCCGAAAACCAGUGGCGGACCCGACGGGCCCUUCCUUUGCGUAGUAACAUCUGCCUCGCAUCGGGAGCCCCCGGGCUAUCCGGCCUCUAAACCCCCCUCAAGCCCGCUCCGGCGGCACCAAGGUUGACCUCGGAUCAGGUAGGAAUACCCGC